GCUUGUCUCAAAGAUUAAGCCAUGCAUGUCUAAGUAUAAACGACUUUAUACUGUGAAACUGCGAAUGGCUCAUUAUAUCAGUUAUAGUUUAUUUGUUGGUCCUUGCUACUUGGAUAACCGUAGUAAUUCUAGAGCUAAUACAUGCAUUAAAUCCCGACUUCUGGAAGCGGUGUAUUUAUUAGAUGGAAACCAAUGCGGGGUAACCCGGAAUAUGGUGAUUCAUAAUAACUUUCGGAUCGAUUUAUCGAUGCAUCAUUCAAGUUUCUGCUCUAUCAGCUUUGGAUGGUAGGGUAUUGGCCUACCAUGGCUUUAACAGGUAACGGAGAAUUACGGUUCGAUUCCGGAGAGGGAGCCUGAGAAAUGGCUACCAUAUCCAAGGAAGGCAGCAGG
RNAcentral lists this ribosomal RNA (390 nucleotides) under uncultured Chrysophyceae. RNAcentral describes it as "partial small subunit ribosomal RNA". It matches the Rfam family "Eukaryotic small subunit ribosomal RNA", at positions 30 to 432 of the family's 1831-position model. Lineage: Eukaryota; Chrysophyceae. The record is from RNAcentral.